Crotalus tigris (Tiger rattlesnake) is the source of this 2795-nucleotide long non-coding RNA. RefSeq lists it as uncharacterized. The transcript is spliced from 3 exons. The record is from RefSeq and is a predicted model, not a curated record. NCBI's taxonomy places the organism in Eukaryota, Metazoa, Chordata, Lepidosauria, Squamata, Viperidae.
UAUUCCAGUAAUUAAUCUAAGAGAGAUGUCAUGCUAAACCGUAAGUGAUUGGUUUACUUGUGCCUUGGCAGAACUAUAGCAUAAUGAGUUACAAGAAUAUAUUCAAUCAUAAUUUAUUUUUAUUAGUUAGUUUUAUACCUCUAUAGUAGUUAACAUAUUCGGAAUUUUUAAAGAAUAAAUAAAUAAAUACAGGCAUUAGAUAUGAUGGAGUUCUCUGGGUCUGGUCCUUGCUUGCACGUUUCACUAUCAAGUAGGUAACAUCAUCAAUGUGCAACAUCUGCAAGGCAUCAACUAAGCUCAGAGAGCACCAAGAACUCCAGUUUAAUCCUGAGCUACAGAUAUUCUUUUCUAUUGGAACCCAAGUAUGAUUUCAAUUACUACCAGUAUGAUUCCAGCUGGCAUUUGGCCCUUAGUCUAGUUUAACUGAAUGACAUCUAUGAUGUAUUGUACUUUUAUUGUUGAUUUUUAUUACCGGUACUUAAACAAAAUUCCACCCCUUAUUCUUGUUUUAAGAUUAUUGUACCAGCAACUUUUUAAACCGUAGAAUAAUAAAAUAAGGUAGGGUGAUAUUCAGUACAUAUCAUUAUUUUAGAAGAGUAGCUAUUUUAUAUUCCUUGGAUGGAUAACCAAUAUGGAUCUGAUUCAAACUUAGAUUGUCCAAGCUCUGAAUUCUGGAGCACAAUAUGUGACUGCUUAGGGAUAAAGCAUCUUGACUACUUCUUUUAAUCUGACGUAUUUGUUGCUUUGGGAUUUCCACUGUACUAUUUUUUUAAAGCAGCUUUGUUACAUUAACAAACUGUUAUUGCAUUAUUUAUCUUCCAUUAGUUCUGAGAAAGAGCUCUGACCACAAUAUCUUCCUUGGCAGGACACAGACUGAAAGAGUAGCCCCCCCCCCGAACUUCAGACCCCAUGAAGCAAAAAUGCAUUCCAAUAGGAGUUCUCCUCCAAAACUUUACAAUCUGGAGAUCCACAAUGACGUUUUUUUUAAGCAAUAAUAAGCAAGGAAGGAUCAAUGCCACAUUUUCUUUGGCUGAUGGCAUUAAAGAAUGAUGCCUACACAGCUUUCUUUGCAUCCACUUUCACAGCAGCUAUAAGUCCUAUUCUGGAAGCAUGUACUAUCAAGUACGUGUCUAUAAAUUCAAAAUACACGGCUUCCUUAUUUAUUUACAGCACGUUGUAUUCAUUAUAUUUUUAAAAUGUGCAUCAGUUUUAUUCUUUUCUUGGAAUUAAAAAAAAUAGAAAAAUAUUAAACAUGCUGAUGAAAUCCUUCAGCCAGUCUUGAUAGCUUGAAUUCUGGGUUAGCCAUGGAUUUUCUUUUCUUUUCAAAUCCAAAUACUUUGAGCCAAGGCUUCCUGAAACAGCAGUAAAGGAAGAUGUGUACUUGGUCAGGAAAAAGUCCAGUAAGUCGUUUGGAACCAAAUCAAAAGCUGGCUCCCUUUAUAAUGGAAAGUCACUUUUCAUUAAAGCGGUCUGACCUUAAGCGUUUCUGAUUAUUAUUUUUUUAAAUCGACACCUGACUACCACCCGGACAGAGUGAGGCGCUCUGCACAUGCUCAGAGAGAAACAGUUUGUGCUUUAUUCACAUGACCCUGAACUCCCAUGGUUUUUCUCGGGAUUCACGCCCGGACGCUUACUAGUUGUACCAGUCUACUCCUUCGUAUUUUUUUUCUCUGCCUGCUGGAGCUGCGAGACCAAACUCGAAGCUUUUCUCUCUUCUGCAUCGCCCAAGCGUACAGUACACUCUGCUUACGCGAAACCCAGCGCUAGCUUGCCUCGUGAGCGAACACACACACGUACGCGCACCCACGAGCGCUUCCCACUUGCCAUAAUUACCCUUCCCGACCGCCUCCUUGGUUCUCCACCCUGCUAGCCUGUCCACGGACGGAGUUUAGGUAGAAAGCGGCUGGCCGAGGCGGGGUUCCCCCAGCUUGCUAGUCCCGCUGGGCGGGGGGGGGGGCGGUACGCUUUCCUUCGCGCGCUACUUGGAGUCGCGUUUUCACACCACGCCCGAAAAACAAAAGGCAUCGGCCUCGCCAACGGAUGGGGUUGCUGGCACCCUGCAGAAACCCAAGCUGGGCGGAAAACGGAACCGGACCGGCUGCCGCACCUUCCUUAUUUGCGCCGAUCGCCUCCAGGGACCCUCGGUUGCUCUGCAAGGCCUCAGGAGGUGGUAUUUCCUUCAUUCAGUCCCCCUGCCUACUCAGGAGUUCUGCAGCUGUAAUGGCUGCUGGCUGGUGAACUGGGAAAACUUCGAAAGGAAGGAAUACCAAGUCCACCAAGCUGGAAGAGAGCAUGAAAAAAAGUCGCAGUGUCCUUGCUGUGACUGCAGAUGAGAAGCCAAAGGACACUUUGGACCCCAACGGGUGCAGCCGUUCUUAUACCUCCUCCAGCAUGCUGGGCUCUGAUUUACGUCGGGGACGGAGACGCCUCUCCUCCAGCUUGCAGGUCCCUCCACGGAAACCCAUAGACAGAGCACGCUCCCCAGAGCCAGACAAUGUCCAGAGGCCAACCACUCUGCCACUCCGCAUCCCUCCCCGAAUUUCUAUCACCCAUGCUGACCCAAACAGGUAAGACAAGGGGAAGAAAGGCAAUGAAGCCGGGGCAGAAUGUCAACAGGAAGGUGAACAUAUCAAUAACAGGCCACCUGGAAGACAGAGAAAAGUGUUAGCUUUGCAAAUAGGAGAAAGCUAUGGGAGGAACCGUGUAAGGGGAGAAACAGUGUACAACGAACAAGAAAGCUGAUUUUUUUUUUUCAUCGUGUCAAAUUUGUAACCACAUUCUGGUGUUCAUGUGAU